RNAcentral lists this unclassified non-coding RNA (347 nucleotides) under Hevea brasiliensis (rubber tree). The record is from RNAcentral. Lineage: Eukaryota; Viridiplantae; Streptophyta; Magnoliopsida; Malpighiales; Euphorbiaceae.
UUCUAGAAAUCUAAAAAAAAAAUAGUCAAAUACCUUAUGGGUAAACAUACAGCCAAGAUGAGGCAUACUGCAAAGUGUUCUCUAUAUGUCAGAUAAAUUAUUUUAUUUUUAUUUUAAAAAUUUAUUAGAAAAAUAAUUCUUUGCAGGUCAAUAGUGAAAUUAAUUCACUGAUAUUUCAUAGGAUUUAUAGAUAUUCAUAUGUGAGUAGGAUUCCAUAUAGAAUUAAGAGUUAAGAGUUAAAGUUGUCUGAAGUUUUCGUACUAUUAGUUAGUACUUUUUUGUAAAUAUAUUUUUAUCUUAUACUUUUUUGUCAAAUCAAAAUUUUGCUUGGCUGUUGGUAUUUUUAU